Molecule: long non-coding RNA, 506 nt
Organism: Apis mellifera (honey bee)
Lineage: Eukaryota; Metazoa; Arthropoda; Insecta; Hymenoptera; Apidae
Exons: 2
Source: RefSeq, a predicted model, not a curated record
UGAAGCCAGGCCGUCAGUAUUGCAUACACAUGGGAGGAGGAGCGUGGCAUUAACCGCGGACGCGGCCUAGAAUGCGUUACAAAGCGUUCGAUCGGAUUAAGCGGCUAAUAGCCAGUCUAUAAUAAUAAUCCCGACAUAAUAACGUGGUAUUACGCGAAGGAUCGGGCUACACCGUAUAAUUUCGUCGCGGCGUGGUCGUAGCCCAACCGCCAAAAGGGCUAACCUAAAUCUCGGUUUCGUACCUCUUGCUCGAGAAAGAAGAUGAUGAUCGGCUAUCGCUGCCAAAACCGAUUAGCCAGAUCGAUCACACACAGCCUCUCGAUUAUUUUCUUUAAUAUCUCGCUCGUUGAAAUAAGUUAUCGCGUCGCUUCUUGUUGUCCUUUAGACCUUUCUUGGUUGGGGAAUAAAUCGAUGCGUGGUUAAAAGAAUCUUUGUCUUUCGAGUUUAAAAUUUAUUGGACCGAAAAACAAUUUUAUACACCGUUUGUGAAACGGGGAUGAAAAGAG